Molecule: transfer RNA, 73 nt
Filed under: Elusimicrobiota bacterium
Lineage: Bacteria; Pseudomonadati; Elusimicrobiota
Description: Elusimicrobia bacterium (groundwater metagenome) tRNA-Cys
Rfam family: tRNA
About the family: Transfer RNA (tRNA) molecules are approximately 80 nucleotides in length. Their secondary structure includes four short double-helical elements and three loops (D, anti-codon, and T loops).
Source: RNAcentral
GGCGCGAUACCCAAGUGGCCAAGGGGGCGGUCCGCAGGACCGUCAAUCGUGGGUUCGAAUCCCACUCGCGCCU